Schistosoma haematobium is the source of this 45-nucleotide non-coding RNA. NCBI's taxonomy places the organism in Eukaryota, Metazoa, Platyhelminthes, Trematoda, Strigeidida, Schistosomatidae. The record is from Rfam.
AUCCAGCUGACGAGUCCCAAAUAGGACGAAACGCGCGUCCUAGAG